CGGGGAUUAGCGCAGUCUGGCAGCGCGCCUGGUUUGGGACCAGGAGGUCGCCGGUUCGAAUCCGGCAUCCCCGACCA
This 77-nucleotide transfer RNA is filed under the name Chloroflexota bacterium. RNAcentral describes it as "Chloroflexi bacterium (freshwater metagenome) tRNA-Pro". It matches the Rfam family "tRNA". Rfam says of the family: Transfer RNA (tRNA) molecules are approximately 80 nucleotides in length. Their secondary structure includes four short double-helical elements and three loops (D, anti-codon, and T loops). Further hydrogen bonds mediate the characteristic L-shaped molecular structure. tRNAs have two regions of fundamental functional importance: the anti-codon, which is responsible for specific mRNA codon recognition, and the 3' end, to which the tRNAs corresponding amino acid is attached (by aminoacyl-tRNA synthetases). tRNAs cope with the degeneracy of the genetic code in two manners: having more than one tRNA (with a specific anti-codon) for a particular amino acid; and 'wobble' base-pairing, i.e. permitting non-standard base-pairing at the 3rd anti-codon position. Lineage: Bacteria; Bacillati; Chloroflexota. The record is from RNAcentral.